AGUGAACGCUGGCGGUAGGCCUAACACAUGCAAGUCGAACGGCAGCACAGUAAGAGCUUGCUCUUACGGGUGGCGAGUGGCGGACGGGUGAGGAAUACAUCGGCAUCUACUUUUUCGUGGGGGAUAACGUAGGGAAACUUACGCUAAUACCGCAUACGACCUACGGGUGAAAGCAGGGGAUCUUCGGACCUUGCGCGAUUGAAUGAGCCGAUGUCGGAUUAGCUAGUUGGCGGGGUAAAGGCCCACCAAGGCGACGAUCCGUAGCUGGUCUGAGAGGAUGAUCAGCCACACUGGAACUGAGACACGGUCCAGACUCCUACGGGAGGCAGCAGUGGGGAAUAUUGGACAAUGGGCGCAAGCCUGAUCCAGCCAUACCGCGUGGGUGAAGAAGGCCUUCGGGUUGUAAAGCCCUUUUGUUGGGAAAGAAGAGCAGCAGGUUAAUACCCCGCUGUUCUGACGGUACCCAAAGAAUAAGCACCGGCUAACUUCGUG
This 492-nucleotide ribosomal RNA is filed under the name uncultured bacterium. RNAcentral describes it as "partial 16S ribosomal RNA". It matches the Rfam family "Bacterial small subunit ribosomal RNA", at positions 29 to 507 of the family's 1533-position model. The record is from RNAcentral.